GACGAACGCUGGCGGCGUGCUUAACACAUGCAAGUCGAACGGAAAGGCCCCCACCUUGGUGGGGGUGCUCGAGUGGCGAACGGGUGAGUAACACGUGGGUGAUCUGCCCUGUACUUCGGGAUAAGCUUGGGAAACUGGGUCUAAUACCGGAUAGGACCAUGGUUUAGUGUCUCAUGGUGGAAAAAUUAUUGUUUUGGUGCAGGAUGAGCUCGCGGCCUAUCAGCUUGUUGGUGGGGUAAUGGCCUACCAAGGCGUCGACGGGUAGCCGGCCUGAGAGGGUGGACGGCCACAUUGGGACUGAGAUGCGGCCCAGACUCCUACGGGAGGCAGCAGUGGGGAAUAUUGCACAAUGGGCGCAAGCCUGAUGCAGCGACGCCGCGUGGGGGAUGACGGCCGUCGGGUUGUAAACUCCUUUCGUUAGGGACGAAGCCACACCUUUUUUGGGUGUGGUGACGGUACCUUUGUUAAGAAGCACCGGCUAACUACGUG
Molecule: ribosomal RNA, 489 nt
Filed under: uncultured bacterium
Lineage: Bacteria
Description: partial 16S ribosomal RNA
Rfam family: Bacterial small subunit ribosomal RNA
Source: RNAcentral